This 304-nucleotide long non-coding RNA is filed under the name Elaeis guineensis (African oil palm). RNAcentral's name for it is "long non-coding RNA (EGUI_LNC026081)". The record is from RNAcentral. Lineage: Eukaryota; Viridiplantae; Streptophyta; Magnoliopsida; Arecales; Arecaceae.
UGUGAGGUGACAUGCAGAGUGCAAAAUAAAGUUGACCAUGACUAAAUAUUGGAUUAGAUAAAUAUAAUCUAACUUUAUUUAAUGUUUGAUCUUGACUUUUGUUAAUGAUCAUGGCAUAGCAAAGCUUAAUCAAAAAUUAUCUCUUUUUAAAAAUAAAUGACCAUUUUGUUUCCUUUACUUGCAUUAUAAUGCGAGGAAUAUAAAUUCUGACACCGAUGUUAGCACCCAUAAUAAUCUCAGCUUUAAUAACUUUUGUGGUAAGAUUUGUCAUUAUUAAUUUGGUACUAUAACAGAGACCUAUACU